Molecule: ribosomal RNA, 253 nt
Filed under: uncultured bacterium
Lineage: Bacteria
Description: partial 16S ribosomal RNA
Rfam family: Bacterial small subunit ribosomal RNA
Source: RNAcentral
UACGUAGGUGGCAAGCGUUGUCCGGAUUUACUGGGCGUAAAGAGCGCGCAGGCGGUCGUUCAAGUCGCGUGUGAAAGCCCCCGGCUCAACUGGGGAGGGUCACGCGAUACUGAUCGACUCGAAGGCAGGAGAGGGUAGUGGAAUUCCCGGUGUAGCGGUGAAAUGCGCAGAGAUCGGGAGGAACACCAAUGGCGAAAGCAGGUACCUGGACUAUUACUGACACUAAGCUGCGAAAGCUAGGGGAGCAAACAGG